GGAUGUAAGGACGAUCAGAGUGUGACAUCUUGUCACCCCUUGGAUCACCAAAGUUGAUUCAGCUGGCCUGGCUUGGUAGGCUGCCAUCUCCUUCCUCCCUCUGCUCCAUGCUCAUAGUUCCCCUCCCUCCUCAAAACUACCCUUUUCCAAACAGAGGAAGGAAGGGCAUACAAGUAGCUCUGCUCUCCUGCUAGAACUGCCAAACAUGUUCUCAAAUAAAGAAGAACAAAUGAAUAAUGUUCAUCCUCGUGAGCUGUCUGGGAAAUGCAAAGAAAACUGCAUGAGUGUCCCACCUCACCCAGUCAGCAUGGCUGUCAU
Molecule: small nuclear RNA, 318 nt
Filed under: Mus musculus (house mouse)
Lineage: Eukaryota; Metazoa; Chordata; Mammalia; Rodentia; Muridae
Description: 7SK RNA
Rfam family: 7SK RNA
About the family: 7SK was discovered as an abundant small nuclear RNA in the mid-70s but a possible function has only recently been suggested. Two independent studies have found that 7SK RNA binds the CDK9/cyclin T complex (known as elongation factor P-TEFb).
Source: Rfam by way of RNAcentral